This 74-nucleotide transfer RNA is filed under the name Candidatus Diapherotrites archaeon ADurb.Bin253. Its description in RNAcentral is "tRNA-Thr". It matches the Rfam family "tRNA". Rfam says of the family: Transfer RNA (tRNA) molecules are approximately 80 nucleotides in length. Their secondary structure includes four short double-helical elements and three loops (D, anti-codon, and T loops). Lineage: Archaea; Nanobdellati; Candidatus Iainarchaeota. The record is from RNAcentral.
AGCCUGUAUAGCUCAGCGAUAGAGCAACUGACUUGUAAUCAGUAGGUCGGGGGUUUGAAUCCCUCUACAGGCUU